Molecule: ribosomal RNA, 499 nt
Filed under: uncultured bacterium
Lineage: Bacteria
Description: partial 16S ribosomal RNA
Rfam family: Bacterial small subunit ribosomal RNA
Source: RNAcentral
GACGAACGCUGGCGGCGUGCUUAUCACAUGCAAGUCGAACGGGCCUGUCUUCUUUUUUGGGGGUGGGUUGAGUGGCGAACGGGUGAGUAUCACGUGAGUAACCUGCCCUUCGGUCCUGGAUAACCGCUUGAAAGGGCGGCUAAUACGGGGUGGUCCGGUUGGUCCGCAUGGGCUGGUCGGGAUAGAUUCACUGUUUUUGGUGUUUCGGCGGGGGAUGGGCUCGCGGCCUAUCAGCUUGUUGGUGGGGUGAUGGCCUACCAAGGCGGUGACGGGUAGCCGGCCUGAGAGGGUGGGCGGCCACACUGGGACUGAGAUACGGCCCAGACUCCUGCGGGAGGCAGCAGUGGGGGGUAUUGCACAAUGGGCGGAAGCCUGAUGCAGCGACGUCGCGUGAGGGAUGGAGGCCUUCGGGUUGUGAACCUCUGUUUCCGGUGGUGAAGGCCCUGUCCGUGUGGUGGGGUUGACGGUAGCCGGGGAUGAAGCGCCGGCUAACUACGUG